Molecule: ribosomal RNA, 253 nt
Filed under: uncultured bacterium
Lineage: Bacteria
Description: partial 16S ribosomal RNA
Rfam family: Bacterial small subunit ribosomal RNA
Source: RNAcentral
UACGAGGGGGGCGAGCGUUGUUCGGAAUUAUUGGGCGUAAAGAGCUCGUAGGCGGCCUGUUGCGUCUGCUGUGAAAUCCCGGGGCUUAACCCCGGGCGUGCAGUGGAUACGGGCAGGCUGGAGGCAGGCAGGGGAGAAUGGAAUUCCCGGUGUAGCGGUGAAAUGCGCAGAUAUCGGGAGGAACACCGGUGGCGAAGGCGGCUCACUGGCCCGUUACCGACGCUCAGGCGCGACAGCGUGGGGAGCAAACAGG